RNAcentral lists this RNase P RNA (373 nucleotides) under human gut metagenome. RNAcentral describes it as "Bacterial RNase P class A". It matches the Rfam family "Bacterial RNase P class A". Rfam says of the family: Ribonuclease P (RNase P) is a ubiquitous endoribonuclease, found in archaea, bacteria and eukarya as well as chloroplasts and mitochondria. Its best characterised activity is the generation of mature 5'-ends of tRNAs by cleaving the 5'-leader elements of precursor-tRNAs. Cellular RNase Ps are ribonucleoproteins. The record is from RNAcentral.
GAGUUGGUCAGGUAAUCGCUGCCUUAUGGUUGUGCCUUCGGGCAGACACAUAGGGGGGAGGAAAGUCCGGGCUCCGCAGGGCAGAGUGCUAGGUAACGCCUAGGGAAUGUGAAUUCACGACCAGUGCAACAGAAAGCAAACCGCCGAAGCCGCAUGCGGCUGGUAAGGGUGAAAUGGUGUGGUAAGAGCACACCGCGCUGCCGGUAACGGUUAGUGGCAUGGUAAACUCCACUCGGAGCAAGACCUAAUAGGCCUCAUUGACACUGCCCGUGUAAGAGGCGGGUUGGUCGCUUGAAUCGGAGAGCGAUUUCCGAUCUAGAGGAAUGAUUACCACUGCGAAAGCAGAACAGAACCCGGCUUAUAGACCAACUCA